RNAcentral lists this ribosomal RNA (253 nucleotides) under uncultured bacterium. Its description in RNAcentral is "partial 16S ribosomal RNA". It matches the Rfam family "Bacterial small subunit ribosomal RNA", at positions 524 to 776 of the family's 1533-position model. The record is from RNAcentral.
UACGGAGGGUGCAAGCAUUAAUCGGAUUUAUUGGGCGUAAAGGGCGUGUAGGCGGGGCUGCAAGUCAGAUGUGAAAUCCCGAGGCUCAACCUCGGAAUGGCAUUUGAAACUACAACUCUAGAGGAUAGGCGGGGAAAACGGAAUUCCACAUGUAGCGGUGAAAUGCGUAGAUAUGUGGAGGAACACCAGUGGCGAAGGCGGUUUUCUAGCUUAUACCUGACGCUGAGGCGCGAAAGCAAGGGGAGCAAACAGG